Long non-coding RNA from Zingiber officinale, 669 nucleotides. RefSeq lists it as uncharacterized. The record is from RefSeq and is a predicted model, not a curated record. Lineage: Eukaryota; Viridiplantae; Streptophyta; Magnoliopsida; Zingiberales; Zingiberaceae. The transcript is spliced from 3 exons.
CCUCCUUCCCCGAUCUCCCCUCUCUUCCCUACUCUCUGCUCUCUCGCGGACAAGCGACGCCGAAGGGAAUGAAGCUUUGAUCUCCGGCGAUCUUCCUCUGCCGGCGUCAACACCCUAAGCUCAGAUCUGGCCGGUGUUUCUCCUCUCCGGGUCUUCUUCGGCUGAGGAGUUGCUAUUCGGUGGAUUUUGCACCGAUUGUUGACGAUCGGUGGCUAGGGCUUAGUGAGGAGCCGGAUCUCGUAUCGUCUCCGACUGGUAGGCUUACCCUCUCCUCCCCUCGUGUUGCUCACAGAGCAGUCCACACCUCCUUUCUUGCUGGAAUUGGGCAACGACGCCAUUGGGAGGUGAUCCAGAGAUUUAGGGCUUCGUCGGAUCUGUCCAGUGACGGCGGUGUGGUGAGGUCACGAGAUUGAAGGGAUUAAGAUUGAUUUCUUCUUGAUCCGGAAUGUAGAGUGGAAUUCAACACAUUGCUACUCUGUGGAUUUUUUGGUGCGGCAGCAACCCAUCCAUCAGUGUUCCCUUGAUCCAGAAUCAAACAGCAGCUGGAUUGAGGUAUGGUGUAGCGAGGUUGAUACAUAAUUAGUGUUGUGUUGAUGAAUUAGGUAUGUAUUGAAUUCGGAAUGGAUUGGAUUGGUACAUGAUUAGUUAGGGUAAUUGAUCUUAGUUGUA